CCUCCAGCUUCUUCUUCUUAUGUUCCACCUCCUGCUUGGCCUGGCCCAGGACCCGCAGCUCCCCGGCCAGACCCUGACCUGUAGUAAUUUGAGGCUGCUGAUGUCACUCUUAUGUGUCAUCACCAAAAAGCAUCACCAAAAAGCAUUACCCUCUUGAACUGCUCAAGCUGCUCUGUGAGCUCCUCCACCGCCUGUGCGUGUUUCUGCCUCAUCUCCUGGACCUGAGCCUCAUGGGACCGCGUCUCUUCAUCCAGGGCCUUCUUCAGCACCGUCACCUCCUGCUCCCUCUUGGCCCUUGGUGGGAGGAACACAGUGAAUGGCAGUUGGGUGGAGACAGAGGGUCAUCUCAGUGCCGUGCAAAAGAAUGAGAGCUCUUCCAGGACCCAGAGCUGCAGUCCUCAUCACCACCCCUCUCUAGCUGUGUGACCUUGGGUCAUUCACCUAACAUCUCUGGACCUAAAAUUUCCUCAGCUGCAAAAUGUGGAGCAUAUCACCUGCCUAGGACAUCUGUAAUGACUGGCAAACAAAUACACAAAGUAAUAGAAUUGAAAGGAUGUCUGUGAACUG
Molecule: long non-coding RNA, 567 nt
Filed under: Homo sapiens (human)
Lineage: Eukaryota; Metazoa; Chordata; Mammalia; Primates; Hominidae
Description: HSALNT0384723
Source: RNAcentral